UACGUAGGGACCGAGCGUUGUCCGGAAUCAUUGGGCGUAAAGAGCGUGUAGGCGGCUAUUUAAGUCCUGCGUGAAAUCCUGCGGCUCAACCGCAGACGGUCGUGGGAAACUGGAUGGCUAGAGUGCGGGAGAGGAGAGUGGAAUUCCCGGUGUAGCGGUGAAAUGCGCAGAUAUCGGGAAGAACACCCGCGGCGAAGGCGGCUCUCUGGAACGCAACUGACGCUGAGGUGCGAGAGCGUGGGGAGCGAACCGG
RNAcentral lists this ribosomal RNA (253 nucleotides) under uncultured bacterium. RNAcentral's name for it is "partial 16S ribosomal RNA". It matches the Rfam family "Bacterial small subunit ribosomal RNA", at positions 524 to 776 of the family's 1533-position model. The record is from RNAcentral.